This is a long non-coding RNA of Eriocheir sinensis (Chinese mitten crab), 934 nucleotides long. RefSeq lists it as uncharacterized. The transcript is spliced from 4 exons. NCBI's taxonomy places the organism in Eukaryota, Metazoa, Arthropoda, Malacostraca, Decapoda, Varunidae. The record is from RefSeq and is a predicted model, not a curated record.
ACACACACACACACACACACACACACACACACACACACACACACACACACACACACACACACACACACACACACACACACACACACACACACACACACACACACACAUCUGUUCAUGCGAGAUAAAAAUCACGGAAAAAAAUGUUUCGAUGACAUCUCCAUGUAUCUGAGGCCACGCCUUCUGGUCUUCGGAAGCCUUAAUGAUUCAAGUCAUUACAAUAAACCUCGGGUCAUUAAGGACUGACCUGAGGAACACACACACACACACACACACACACACACACACACACACACACACACACACACACACACACACACACACACACACAUGUACAAACGAACACACAAUGUCGAGGGGUAUUUAUGGACGUCAAGCCAACAAGCACUUCACAGGCUCUCAAGGCGGUCUCGGGUCAAGAGGUCUCCUGUUCUUGUUUCCCGUAAACAUGAGGACCCCUGUACACCCCUGUAUCAAAUGUUCAUGGUGUAAUAAUUACUUCCCGUUGUCCGCACUCGCAGCUCAUAGGGCGGCCUGCCUUCCAGAGGGCCUUGGGACUGGAUCGAAAGAUAUAUCUACUAGAAACAAUGAAGAGACGUCGUCGACUAGCUCUGAUCGAUCAGAUGUCGGUUUCUCUCAACCAGACCCCAGCGAUAUUGGAAGUUGUUCUCCACGGGCGGGUCUCAGCGACGAAGCCAGUCAAAACCAAAGGACUAUCUCCGAAGAAGGCGGGUCUGGUAGGCUCAGCCAUUGGCCCUCCUCUUCAGCGAUCGGUAGUGGACGAAAACGAAAACAAGCGAAUACAGGAACAAACGACACCUGCAGGAAAAAGCAAGCCCGUCGUGAGGGAUUCUCCCAUCCAAACAGUUCUCCACAGCCAGGACCCAGCGGUUAUAACCCGGGACGGCCGACAACAACACCCUCGCCAACACCAGGU